CUCUCUUUGUAUAAUAUAAAUAAAGAGUUGGGCCUGCUCGGUGAAACGUUUUAACAGCUGCGGUAUUUUAACUGUACUAAGGUAGCAUAAUAAUUUGCCUUAUAAUUUGAGGCUAGAAUGAAUGGUUUGACGAAGGUUAAUCUGUCUCUGCUUUAUUUUUUAGAAAUUAAUUUUCAUAGUGAAAAAGCUUGAAUUUCUUAAGGGGACGAGAAGACCCUACUGAGCUUAUAAUUUUAUUAUCACAUAUAUUUAUGUAUAAUGUGCUAUAUAAAUUUUAAUUGGGGUGAUUAAGGAAUAAUAUAGCUAUAUUUAUAACUUCCUUAGAUAUUAUAUUGUUGAAUUAAGUAACCGAUUAAUUAAUAGAAUUGUAUUAUGUAUUGCUUAUAAUAUAGUUACCAUAGGGAUAACAGCGUAAUUUACUUAGAGAGUUCUUAUUGAAAAGUAAGAUUGCGACCUCGAUGUUGGAUUAAAGUGACCUUAAGGUGCAGAAGCUUUAUGAGGUAAAUCUGUUCGAUUUUUAAAACUUU
This 527-nucleotide ribosomal RNA is filed under the name Uroteuthis chinensis. RNAcentral describes it as "partial 16S ribosomal RNA". It matches the Rfam family "Bacterial large subunit ribosomal RNA", at positions 1816 to 2597 of the family's 2925-position model. Lineage: Eukaryota; Metazoa; Mollusca; Cephalopoda; Myopsida; Loliginidae. The record is from RNAcentral.